RNAcentral lists this ribosomal RNA (240 nucleotides) under uncultured bacterium. Its description in RNAcentral is "partial 16S ribosomal RNA". It matches the Rfam family "Bacterial small subunit ribosomal RNA", at positions 94 to 339 of the family's 1533-position model. The record is from RNAcentral.
AGCGGCGAACGGGUGUGUAACACGUGAGUAUUUACCCAUUAGUGAAGGAUAACUUCGAGAAAUCGAGGCUAAUACUGCAUACGUCCCUUCGGGGAGAAAGGUGGCCUCUUUGCUGCCGCUAAUGGAUGAACUUGCGGGCUAUCAGCUUGUUGGUAAGGUAAAGGCUUACCAAGGCUAUGACGGCUAGCCGACCUGAGAGGGUGUACGGCCACAUUGGAACUGAGAUACGGUCCAGACUCC